GAUGAACGCUGGCGGCGUGCCUAAUACAUGCAAGUCGAGCGAACGGACGAGAAGCUUGCUUCUCUGAUGUUAGCGGCGGACGGGUGAGUAACACGUGGAUAACCUACCUAUAAGACUGGGAUAACUUCGGGAAACCGGAGCUAAUACCGGAUAAUAUUUUGAACCGCAUGGUUCAAAAGUGAAAGACGGUCUUGCUGUCACUUAUAGAUGGAUCCGCGCUGCAUUAGCUAGUUGGUAAGGUAACGGCUUACCAAGGCAACGAUGCAUAGCCGACCUGAGAGGGUGAUCGGCCACACUGGAACUGAGACACGGUCCAGACUCCUACGGGAGGCAGCAGUAGGGAAUCUUCCGCAAUGGGCGAAAGCCUGACGGAGCAACGCCGCGUGAGUGAUGAAGGUCUUCGGAUCGUAAAACUCUGUUAUUAGGGAAGAACAUAUGUGUAAGUAACUGUGCACAUCUUGACGGUACCUAAUCAGAAAGCCACGGCUAACUACGUGCCAGCAGCCGCGGUAAUACGUAGGUGGCAAGCGUUAUCCGGAAUUAUUGGGCGUAAAGCGCGCGUAGGCGGUUUUUUAAGUCUGAUGUGAAAGCCCACGGCUCAACCGUGGAGGGUCAUUGGAAACUGGAAAACUUGAGUGCAGAAGAGGAAAGUGGAAUUCCAUGUGUAGCGGUGAAAUGCGCAGAGAUAUGGAGGAACACCAGUGGCGAAGGCGACUUUCUGGUCUGUAACUGACGCUGAUGUGCGAAAGCGUGGGGAUCAAACAGGAUUAGAUAUCCUGGUAGUCCACGCCGUAAACGAUGAGUGCUAAGUGUUAGGGGGUUUCCGCCCCUUAGUGCUGCAGCUAACGCAUUAAGCACUCCGCCUGGGGAGUACGACCGCAAGGUUGAAACUCAAAGGAAUUGACGGGGACCCGCACAAGCGGUGGAGCAUGUGGUUUAAUUCGAAGCAACGCGAAGAACCUUACCAAAUCUUGACAUCCUUUGACAACUCUAGAGAUAGAGCUUUCCCCUUCGGGGGACAAAGUGACAGGUGGUGCAUGGUUGUCGUCAGCUCGUGUCGUGAGAUGUUGGGUUAAGUCCCGCAACGAGCGCAACCCUUAAGCUUAGUUGCCAUCAUUAAGUUGGGCACUCUAAGUUGACUGCCGGUGACAAACCGGAGGAAGGUGGGGAUGACGUCAAAUCAUCAUGCCCCUUAUGAUUUGGGCUACACACGUGCUACAAUGGACAAUACAAAGGGCAGCGAAACCGCGAGGUCAAGCAAAUCCCAUAAAGUUGUUCUCAGUUCGGAUUGUAGUCUGCAACUCGACUACAUGAAGCUGGAAUCGCUAGUAAUCGUAGAUCAGCAUGCUACGGUGAAUACGUUCCCGGGUCU
This 1372-nucleotide ribosomal RNA is filed under the name uncultured bacterium. RNAcentral describes it as "bacterial SSU rRNA". It matches the Rfam family "Bacterial small subunit ribosomal RNA", at positions 28 to 1381 of the family's 1533-position model. The record is from RNAcentral.